RNAcentral lists this ribosomal RNA (284 nucleotides) under uncultured Methanosaeta sp. Its description in RNAcentral is "partial 16S ribosomal RNA". It matches the Rfam family "Archaeal small subunit ribosomal RNA", at positions 190 to 473 of the family's 1478-position model. The record is from RNAcentral. Lineage: Archaea; Methanobacteriati; Methanobacteriota; Methanomicrobia; Methanotrichales; Methanotrichaceae.
AAAGCUCCGGCGCCCAAGGAUGGGUCUGCGGCCUAUCAGGGUUGAAGUGGGUGUAAUGUACCUACUAGCCUACGACGGGUACGGGUUGUGAGAGCAAGAGCCCGGAGAUGGAUUCUGAGACACGAAUCCAGGCCCUACGGGGUGCAGCAGGCGCGAAAACUUUACAAUGCGGGAAACCGUGAUAAGGGAAUCUCGAGUGCCAGCAUAUAAUGUUGGCUGUCCAGAUGCCUAAAAAGCAUCUGUUAGCAAGGGCCGGGCAAGACCGGUGCCAGCCGCCGCGGUAA